AUGUUUUAGGUGACACAGGAACCUCCAGAAAUGAAGACCUAAAGAAACGAGGAAAUUGGUUAUAUGUUUAUGCUCAAGCUUGGUGAAGGCUGGACCAUGAUGCAGAAGCAGGAUGGACGAAAGUGGGCUUGAUCUAAUGGCAGUAACUGGGGGUAGUAAAUACCCAAGAAAGUCUACCAUGGUAAGUGUUAGGUCCUUAGACCAAAGUAACUCCAUUUUGAAAAUCAGCACCUUCAUUUUGAAAAUCAGCACCCAAGCAUGACCUUCUCAUUAGGCCCGCCCCCCAAAGAGUCCCUACCUACCAAAACCACAACAAAGGCGUCAAGUAACAAUCACAGGACCAGAUGGGUUAUUUUUUAGCUACUCCAUUGUACAUGACUAUAUAGUUAAGAAGUUUUUACCUGCAGGCUGCUGCACCUUACAGAAGGGCAGCCUAGCAGAUAUUCUCUGUCAAUAAACCUUUGUUUGACUCAGAG
Molecule: long non-coding RNA, 476 nt
Filed under: Marmota monax (woodchuck)
Lineage: Eukaryota; Metazoa; Chordata; Mammalia; Rodentia; Sciuridae
Source: RNAcentral